GACGAACGCUGGCGGCGUGCCUAAUACAUGCAAGUCGAACGCUUCUUUCCUCCCGAGUGCUUGCACUCAAUUGGAAAGAGGAGUGGCGGACGGGUGAGUAACACGUGGGUAACCUACCCAUCAGAGGGGGAUAACACUUGGAAACAGGUGCUAAUACCGCAUAACAGUUUAUGCCGCAUGGCAUAAGAGUGAAAGGCGCUUUCGGGUGUCGCUGAUGGAUGGACCCGCGGUGCAUUAGCUAGUUGGUGAGGUAACGGCUCACCAAGGCCACGAUGCAUAGCCGACCUGAGAGGGUGAUCGGCCACACUGGGACUGAGACACGGCCCAGACUCCUACGGGAGGCAGCAGUAGGGAAUCUUCGGCAAUGGACGAAAGUCUGACCGAGCAACGCCGCGUGAGAGAAGAAGGUUUUCGGAUCGUAAAACUCUGUUGUUAGAGAAGAACAAGGACGUUAGUAACUGAACGUCCCCUGACGGUAUCUAACCAGAAAGCCACGGCUAACUACGUG
This 508-nucleotide ribosomal RNA is filed under the name uncultured bacterium. Its description in RNAcentral is "partial 16S ribosomal RNA". It matches the Rfam family "Bacterial small subunit ribosomal RNA", at positions 28 to 507 of the family's 1533-position model. The record is from RNAcentral.